AUUGCCUCGAGGUCAGUUGACUUCCGUCCUGCUUACCACAAACGCUGUUAAGUGUUGGCUGCUGCGCGCCUGGCAACGCCCAUUGUAUGCGUCGUCUCAUCUCUGGAGAAAAACCUGCAUAGCCUGAGGUGUCAUACGUGACCAGUCCGGCCUCGGACCUGCAGUACUUGUUGUACGCGAACGGCAGUGAGCCGGUCCACCGCCACCACAUGGACGACCUGCUGUGCGAGUACCACAGCACGCUGUCGGACAUCCUACGGUGCCUGGGUAUGCAGCAGGCAGCUGAGGUCUUCACUUUAGAGGAGCUGAAACGGGACAUGGACCGCUGUCUAGUUAUGGGAUUUCUCUUCAGCUGCAUGAGCGGCUUUGCUCUGACUUCUGAAAAGUACGGUGUAGAAUACGUGAAGGCAUUCAACGACCGAGAGCACGUCGACGAAGCUCUCACUAAGAUCUUCAAGAAUCCUUAUUCGUUAUCCUACAUGAAAUACCUGACGCCAAUUUUUGACAGUAAAGGAAUUUUGUGACAAUUUGUAGCACGUAUAGCUAUUAAGAUUCAAAUAAUCUAACAGUUUGUAAAUUUCUGCCUUAGAGGUUCUUCUGCCUCACUGUAGGCUAUGAGUAAGUGAGUAUGAUGUCUUGCAGGGGAGUGCCUACUGUGUUACGUGAUUAAUUCGCAUUUAUUUCUUGAGGAUUUGUAUAUAAGUAGUAGGGCAACUCUUGUACUCCAAAAGACCUUUAAAAUAUGCUUGGUAUCUUUUUAUGCCAUGGAUUGUUUUUGAAUAUACUGAUAUCGAGAGAG
Molecule: long non-coding RNA, 799 nt
Organism: Schistocerca serialis cubense
Lineage: Eukaryota; Metazoa; Arthropoda; Insecta; Orthoptera; Acrididae
Exons: 2
Source: RefSeq, a predicted model, not a curated record